This 478-nucleotide ribosomal RNA is filed under the name uncultured bacterium. RNAcentral describes it as "partial 16S ribosomal RNA". It matches the Rfam family "Bacterial small subunit ribosomal RNA", at positions 28 to 507 of the family's 1533-position model. The record is from RNAcentral.
GAUGAACGCUGGCGGCGUGCUUAACACAUGCAAGUCGAACGGGAAACCUUUUAUUGAACUUUCGGCAGAUUAAGCUGGUUUGUAGUGGCGGACGGGGGAUUAACUCGUGGUUAGCCUGCCUUAAACUGGGGGAUACCAACCAGAAACGGUUGCUUAUAUCGCAUAACCGCACUGGACCGCAUGAGCCGGUGUGGAAAACUCGGGUGGGUUAAUAUGGACCCCCAUUGCAUUUGCUUGUUGGAAGGGUAACGGGCUACCACGGUGACGAUCCAUAGACGGGAUGGGAGAGUGGGCGGCGACUCUGGCACUGGGACACAGCACAGACUCCUACGCGAUGCAGCAGUGGGGGAUAGUGCACAAUGGGGGGAGCGCUGAUGCAGCGACGCCGGGUGAAGGAAGAAGUAUCUCGGUAUGUAAUCUUCUAUCAGCAGUGAAGAUAGUGACGGUACCUGACUAAGAAGCCCCGGCUAACUACGUG